RNAcentral lists this ribosomal RNA (483 nucleotides) under uncultured bacterium. Its description in RNAcentral is "partial 16S ribosomal RNA". It matches the Rfam family "Bacterial small subunit ribosomal RNA", at positions 28 to 507 of the family's 1533-position model. The record is from RNAcentral.
GAUGAACGCUGGCGGCGUGCCUAACACAUGCAAGUCGAACGGAGUCGUUUUGGAAAUCUCUUCGGAGAUGGAAUUCUCGACUUAGUGGCGGACGGGUGAGUAACGCGUGAGCAAUCUGCCUUUAAGAGGGGGAUAACAGUCGGAAACGGCUGCUAAUACCGCAUAAAGCAUUAAAUUCGCAUGUUUUUGAUGCCAAAGGAGCAAUCCGCUUUUAGAUGAGCUCGCGUCUGAUUAGCUAGUUGGCGGGGUAACGGCCCACCAAGGCGACGAUCAGUAGCCGGACUGAGGGGUUGAACGGCCACAUUGGGACUGAGACACGGCCCAGACUCCUACGGGAGGCAGCAGUGGGGAAUAUUGCGCAAUGGGGGAAACCCUGACGCAGCAACGCCGCGUGAUUGAAGAAGGCCUUCGGGUUGUAAAGAUCUUUAAUCAGGGACGAAACAAAUGACGGUACCUGAAGAAUAAGCGCCGGCUAACUACGUG